This 425-nucleotide ribosomal RNA is filed under the name uncultured bacterium. RNAcentral's name for it is "bacterial SSU rRNA". It matches the Rfam family "Bacterial small subunit ribosomal RNA", at positions 355 to 772 of the family's 1533-position model. The record is from RNAcentral.
UGGGGAAUUUUGGACAAUGGGCGCAAGCCUGAUCCAGCAAUGCCGCGUGCAGGAUGAAGGCCUUCGGGUUGUAAACUGCUUUUGUACGGAACGAAAUGCUUCUGGUUAAUACCUGGGAGUCAUGACGGUACCGUAAGAAUAAGCACCGGCUAACUACGUGUCAGCAGCCGCGGUAAUACGUAGGGUGCGAGCGUUAAUCGGAAUUACUGGGCGUAAAGCGUGCGCAGGCGGUUAUGUAAGACAGAGGUGAAAUCCCCGGGCUCAACCUGGGAACUGCCUUUGUGACUGCAUGGCUAGAGUGCGGCAGAGGGGGAUGGAAUUCCGCGUGUAGCAGUGAAAUGCGUAGAUAUGCGGAGGAACACCGAUGGCGAAGGCAAUCCCCUGGGCCUGCACUGACGCUCAUGCACGAAAGCGUGGGGAGCAAA